ACAAUUCUAAUGCUCACCUCAAUCCAGGUACUCAUGUCUGCAUUCUGGGCUCCAUAACCUGCCUUAGGUAUGACUUCAAACUCUUGUUUUCAAGCAACUCUACCCAACUCCACUAGCAUGCCUACCUACUCAUGACCUGACUCUUCCAUUUCUUUUCUUCAUCACUCUACUUAGGAUUGCUGAUUCAGUACUUAAAGUCAAGGAAACUUAUUUAUUUAAAUUUGGGUAUCAUAUACAAGAAUAAAUUUCGGUAUUGGUAUGUCCUAAAUUAUUCUUUGUAUACAGUGACUUUGAUACUAGUCUGUACUACAUAACAAGACUAUGUCUCAAAAAACAGAGGAAUUUGAGAGUUCAUUACAUAGUUCAUCUGUUACACAUGCAUCUCAAAAUGAAUAUAGAAAUAUCUUCCAUUAGAACUGUCAACCUGGGUAGACUGCCAGAGCCAGUCAGGCAAAUUUGUUUCCAGAAACUUCAGCCAGAUUCCUUUGCUUUUCGUAAGGGCCCACAGACCUGUGUUCACGAAACCUUUCCAUCUGACCACUUGGAUUGCAUCCUCCAUUCCCCUGGUCAUGCCCUUGAAGUAGUUCUGGUGUGAAGCCUAGAGUCACAACAUAAUUUGCCCGUAUCUGCAGUGACAAAUGAUUUGUGCAGUUUUGUUCACAAUCUUAUCUUCCUGGCAAGUCAAGCUAAUUAAUGCCUUUGCACUCAGUAAAGAUUUGUUUACUGGUUUUCUAGCCACAUUUGGCAACUUGUAGUAAAUAGCCACCCUUCUUUUCUUUCCCUUACCCUUGCAGUUGAUGUGUUGUAAGAU
Long non-coding RNA from Perognathus longimembris pacificus (Pacific pocket mouse), 811 nucleotides. RefSeq lists it as uncharacterized. Lineage: Eukaryota; Metazoa; Chordata; Mammalia; Rodentia; Heteromyidae. The record is from RefSeq and is a predicted model, not a curated record. The transcript is spliced from 3 exons.